CCUCAGUCUGACCCUCAAAUACCCCACAGUGAGAGACAGUGGAGGAUACAUCUGCACCAUCUACAGGGACAAAGACAUCCUGAGACAGAAAGUAGUGCUGAAGGUCAAAGAACCGUUUCCGUCCUGGGCCACAGUUCUCCUGGUUUUCCUGCUUCUUCUUGUAGUUGUUUCUGCGAGUCUUUUAUUUCAUUUCCGUCAUUCCUUGGUGUCAGUUAUUCCAGUGAAGGUGGAGGUGGAGGAGGGGGCGGAGUCUGUCCAGCUGCCCUUCAAAACAACAAAAAACCUGUCGGGGGAAAUUCAAGUGAUAUGGGAACGUU
Molecule: long non-coding RNA, 317 nt
Organism: Pelmatolapia mariae (spotted tilapia)
Lineage: Eukaryota; Metazoa; Chordata; Actinopteri; Cichliformes; Cichlidae
Exons: 3
Source: RefSeq, a predicted model, not a curated record